UUCUCAUUGAUCCUAGUUAUCAGGUAAAAUCAGUGUUCCUGGAAAUCACCAUUGCCCCUGGCAAUCACACAAUCCAGGUUUUAUAUAACAAUCUGGAACAUCAAAAUUAAAGUUAUGACAUGUUAACGAUAGUGGGCAGAGAAUCAAACAAUCUGUGUCACAGAUUUUAGUUAAUUUCGUUAUUAUAAUGCUACAAAUUUUGGGAUUUGGAUUUUCUUUAUAGCAUUUAAGUAUUUACAUGGAAACUAAUUUAUUAUACUUAUGGGAUAGUGGAAAAUCUAUGGUUUAUUUUUAUUUCUUCUGGAAUGGUAUUUGUAUACAUUACAUUGUAUGUAAUGUGGAACAUAUUAAGGGGGUGUCUGGUUCACCUUUUGGGUGUAAAUGAUAGCUGAUGGACACCUAAACAGGUGAACUGAAGUGUUUGGCAAUCUUAAAAAAAUAGAGUUGAUAGCUGAUAGCUAACUGAUAUGAUAACCAUCAGCUGCAGUUUGUAUCGGGCUAUCAGCUCUAUUUUUAGAGUUAUUUCUCAUCAACUGAUAGCUAAUUUGAUUUUAUUUUUUAUUUAGACUAUAUUAUCCUUUCUCAUGUAACUCGAAAAUUAAUAUUAUUAAUUUGCCUUAAUUUUUUUCCAUUUACAAUCUUAACACCUUAUUUAGCGUUUUGCAAUUUUGUUAAAAUAUUUUUUAUUAAU
This 691-nucleotide unclassified non-coding RNA is filed under the name Hevea brasiliensis (rubber tree). The record is from RNAcentral. Lineage: Eukaryota; Viridiplantae; Streptophyta; Magnoliopsida; Malpighiales; Euphorbiaceae.